GGAGCGCGCCGGGCGAUCGCCCCUUUUCGUAGGGGAGGAAAGUCCGGGCUCCAAAGGGCAGGGUGGCCGCUAACGGCGGCGCGGCGUAAUCCGCGGAAAGUGGCACAGAAAACAUACCGCCCGCAUCGCGGGUAAGGGUGAAAUGGCGGGGUAAGAGCCCACCGGCGCACGGGUAACCGGGCGCGCUUGCCAAACCCCACCCGGAGCAAGGCCAAAUAGGAGGGUGAGUCGCCCGCUCGAUACCCUCGGGUACGGCUGCUUGAGCCGGCGAGCAAUCGUCCGGCCCAGAGGAAUGAUCGCCACCCGAAAGGGCACAGAACCCGGCUUACAGGCGCACUCCGGCA
This 344-nucleotide RNase P RNA is filed under the name bacterium. RNAcentral describes it as "RNase P RNA component class A". It matches the Rfam family "Bacterial RNase P class A". Rfam says of the family: Ribonuclease P (RNase P) is a ubiquitous endoribonuclease, found in archaea, bacteria and eukarya as well as chloroplasts and mitochondria. The record is from RNAcentral.